This 634-nucleotide ribosomal RNA is filed under the name uncultured bacterium. RNAcentral's name for it is "bacterial SSU rRNA". It matches the Rfam family "Bacterial small subunit ribosomal RNA", at positions 83 to 711 of the family's 1533-position model. The record is from RNAcentral.
CUUCUCUUGAGAGCGGCGGACGGGUGAGUAAUGCCUAGGAAUCUGCCUGGUAGUGGGGGAUAACGUCCGGAAACGGACGCUAAUACCGCAUACGUCCUACGGGAGAAAGCAGGGGACCUUCGGGCCUUGCGCUAUCAGAUGAGCCUAAGUCGGAUUAGCUAGUUGGUGGGGUAAUGGCUCACCAAGGCGACGAUCCGUAACUGGUCUGAGAGGAUGAUCAGUCACACUGGAACUGAGACACGGUCCAGACUCCUACGGGAGGCAGCAGUGGGGAAUAUUGGACAAUGGGCGAAAGCCUGAUCCAGCCAUGCCGCGUGUGUGAAGAAGGUCUUCGGAUUGUAAAGCACUUUAAGUUGGGAGGAAGGGCAGUAAAUUAAUACUUUGCUGUUUUGACGUUACCGACAGAAUAAGCACCGGCUAACUCUGUGCCAGCAGCCGCGGUAAUACAGAGGGUGCAAGCGUUAAUCGGAAUUACUGGGCGUAAAGCGCGCGUAGGUGGUUCGUUAAGUUGGAUGUGAAAUCCCCGGGCUCAACCUGGGAACUGCAUUCAAAACUGACGAGCUAGAGUAUGGUAGAGGGUGGUGGAAUUUUCCUGUGUAGCGGUGAAAAUGCGUAGAUAUAGGAAGGAACACCA